RNAcentral lists this long non-coding RNA (659 nucleotides) under Trifolium pratense (red clover). Its description in RNAcentral is "long non-coding RNA (TPRA_LNC000633)". Lineage: Eukaryota; Viridiplantae; Streptophyta; Magnoliopsida; Fabales; Fabaceae. The record is from RNAcentral.
AAGUCAAGACAAAUAGUCAAAGUCUAUGCUAUGUUCAUCAUCUAGCAAAUCUCUUAAGACUACAAGAGAAGACUAUGUUCGUCCAGAACUUCGUCAAUAAUCAUUUGCGGUACACAUGAUCAUCUCAACCUUUAAAGAGUAGAGAAUAUUUUUCCAACGAUCGUAUAAUGUGAAUCAUGGACCAUGAUUCACUCCUUGUUGAGUUUGGCUAAGAAUAGGCUACAUAAUAGUAAAAAUGUCGCAAUCUUUCUCAUCUUCUAAAACCUUCACAUUUGUCUUUUAGCAAAGCUUGUAGUCUUUCAUCCACUUGGGCUUCAUAGUGGUGCGCUUGUCCUAUGGGGUAUAUGACUUCUAGCAAUUCCUCAUCAUCUGGCCCAUGUUCAAUUGGACCAAUAUAUAACACCAUAAUCAUGAGUCAUAACCGACAUGUGAACAAGCUUGCUGCAAUUUAACAUUUGGCUGCACCUCAAGCUAUAAAAUCAAUAUGUUCCAACCUUUUUGUAUUUAAUGCACCGUCUGAAAAUCCUCAAGUUGCUUCACAAUUGCAAGUUGCAUCUUUGGCUGGACAUAAUCCAUAUUGUCAAAAAAAUAAGAAAAAAGACCCACAUGUUGUCUGUCUUACAGAACAUAAGUAACAUCAAAUAGUCAACUACUAAUUA